RNAcentral lists this ribosomal RNA (497 nucleotides) under uncultured bacterium. RNAcentral's name for it is "partial 16S ribosomal RNA". It matches the Rfam family "Bacterial small subunit ribosomal RNA", at positions 28 to 507 of the family's 1533-position model. The record is from RNAcentral.
GAUGAACGCUGGCGGCGUGCCUAAUACAUGCAAGUCGAGCGAACAGACGAGGAGCUUGCUCCUCUGACGUUAGCGGCGGACGGGUGAGUAACACGUGGAUAACCUACCUAUAAGACUGGGAUAACUUCGGGAAACCGGAGCUAAUACCGGAUAAUAUAUUGAACCGCAUGGUUCAAUAGUGAAAGACGGUUUUGCUGUCACUUAUAGAUUGAUCCGCGCCGCAUUAGCUAGUUGGUAAGGUAACGGCUUACCAAGGCAACGAUGCGUAGCCGACCUGAGAGGGUGAUCGGCCACACUGGAACUGAGACACGGUCCAGACUCCUACGGGAGGCAGCAGUCGGGAAUCUUCCGCAAUGGGCGAAAGCCUGACGGAGCAACGCCGCGUGAGUGAUGAAGGUCUUCGGAUCGUAAAACUCUGUUAUUCGGGAAGAACAAAUGUGUAAGUAACUAUGCACGUCUUGACGGUACCUAAUCAGAAAGCCACGGCUAACUACGUG